Molecule: ribosomal RNA, 441 nt
Filed under: uncultured bacterium
Lineage: Bacteria
Description: bacterial SSU rRNA
Rfam family: Bacterial small subunit ribosomal RNA
Source: RNAcentral
GAUGAACGCUGGCGGUAUGCCUAACACAUGCAAGUCGUACGAGAGUUUUUAACUCUAGUGGCGGACGGGUGAGUAACACGUGAGAAUUUGCCUUUAGGAGGGGGAUAACAAUUGGAAACGAAUGCUAAUACCCCAUAUGCUUUUGAGUGAAAUGGAUUUUAUCCGCCUAGAGAGAAGCUCGCGGCUGAUUAGCUUGUUGGUAAGGUAAGAGCUUACCAAGGCGACGAUCAGUAUCUGGUUUGAGAGGACGAUCAGACACACUGGAACUGAGACACGGUCCAGACUCCUACGGGAGGCAGCAGUGGGGAAUUUUCCGCAAUGGGCGAAAGCCUGACGGAGCAAUACCGCGUGAGGGAAGACUGCCUAUGGGUUGUAAACCUCUUUUUUCAGGGAGGAAUAAAAUGACGUGUACCUGAAGAAUAAGCAUCGGCUAACUCCGUG